Molecule: ribosomal RNA, 468 nt
Filed under: uncultured bacterium
Lineage: Bacteria
Description: partial 16S ribosomal RNA
Rfam family: Bacterial small subunit ribosomal RNA
Source: RNAcentral
GACGAACGCUGGCGGCGUGCUUAACACAUGCAAGUCGAACGGAAAGGCCCUGCUUUUGUGGGGUGCUCGAGUGGCGAACGGGUGAGUAACACGUGAGUAACCUGCCCUUGACUUUGGGAUAACUUCAGGAAACUGGGGCUAAUACCGGAUAGGAGCUCCUGCUGCAUGGUGGGGGUUGGAGAGUUUCGGCGGUUGGGGAUGGACUCGCGGCUUAUCAGCUUGUUGGUGGGGUAGUGGCUUACCAAGGCUUUGACGGGUAGCCGGCCUGAGAGGGUGACCGGCCACAUUGGGACUGAGAUACGGCCCAGACUCCUACGGGAGGCAGCAGUGGGGAAUAUUGCACAAUGGGCGGAAGCCUGAUGCAGCAACGCCGCGUGCGGGAUGACGGCCUUCGGGUUGUAAACCGCUUUCGACUGUGACGAAGCGUGAGUGACGGUAAUUGGUAAAGAAGCACCGGCUAACUACGUG